CGAAGACUGCGAAGUGGAGCAAANCCCUAAAAGCCAUCUCAGUUCGGAUUGCAGGCUGCAACUCGCCUGCAUGAAGCUGGAAUUGCUAGUAAUCGCGGAUCAGCAAGCCGCGGUGAAUACGUUCCCGAGCCUUGUACACACCGCCCGUCACACCAUGAGAGUCGGGAACACCCGAAGUCCGUAGUCUAACCGCAAGGGGAGCGCGGCCGAAGGUGGGUCCGGUAAUUGGGGUGAAGUCGUAACAAGGUAUC
Molecule: ribosomal RNA, 251 nt
Filed under: uncultured bacterium
Lineage: Bacteria
Description: partial 16S ribosomal RNA
Rfam family: Bacterial small subunit ribosomal RNA
Source: RNAcentral